UUUAUUGAGAGUUUGAUCCUGGCUCAGGAUGAACGCUGGCGGCGUGCCUUAUACAUGCAAGUCAUACGGGUGUAGCAAUACACCAGUGGCGAACGGCUGAGUAACACGUGGGAACUUCCUUUAAGUUCGGAAUAACUCUCCGAAAGGAGAGCUAAUACCGGAUGUGUUCGCAAGAACAAAGUCCGCAAGGAUGCUUAAAGCAAGGCCUGCGCACCAUCAGGUAGUUGGCGAGGUAAAAGCUCACCAAGCCUAUGACGGUUAGAGGGCCCGAGAGGGUGUACCUCCAGAUGGGGACUGCGACACGGCCCCGACUCCUACGGGAGGCAGCAGUAGGGAAUAUUGGACAAUGGGCGAAAGCCUGAUCCAGCGACGCCGCGUGCGGGAUGAAGGCCUUAGGGUUGUAAACCGCUUUUGUUGGGGAACAAUUUUUGAGCGUACCCGACGAAUAAGAGGUUGCUAACUCUGUGCCAGCAGCAGCGGUAAUACAGAGACCUCAAGCGUUAUCCGGAUUUAUUGGGCGUAAAGCGUGCCGAUCGGCUGUUUAGAAAGUCUUCUGUUAAAGCCUGCGGCUCAACCGUAGAAUCGCAGAAGAAACUUCUAGACUAGAGGGGCAAAGAGGUGCUUGGAACAAAUGGAGUAGCAGUGAAAUGCGUUGAUAUCAUUUGGAACACCAAAUGCGAAGGCAGAGCACUGGGUGCCACCUGACGCUGCUAGGACGAAAGCGUGGGUAGCGAAUGGGAUUAGAUACCCCAGUAGUCCACGCCGUAAACGAUGAUAACUAGACACGAGAGAGUAUCGACCCUUUUUCGUGUCGAAGCUAACGCGUUAAGUUAUCCGCCUGGGGAGUACGGCCGCAAGGCUAAAACUCAAAGGAAUUGACGGGGACCCGCACAAGCG
RNAcentral lists this ribosomal RNA (897 nucleotides) under Candidatus Omnitrophota bacterium. Its description in RNAcentral is "bacterial SSU rRNA". It matches the Rfam family "Bacterial small subunit ribosomal RNA", at positions 1 to 931 of the family's 1533-position model. The record is from RNAcentral. Lineage: Bacteria; Pseudomonadati; Candidatus Omnitrophota.